CAUGUCUCUUUGAAAAUUAUUAAUAAAGAGUUGGGCCUGCUCGGUGAGAAGAAAAAUUUAACAGCUGCGGUAUUAUAACUGUACUAAGGUAGCAUAAUAAUUUGCCUUAUAAAUUAAGGCUAGAAUGAAUGGUUUGACGAAAAUUAGACUGUCUUUAUUUUAUUUGUUAGAAAUUAAUUUUUAUAGUGAAAAAGCUUGAAUAAUUUAAGGGGACGAGAAGACCCUAUUGAGCUUUAUUUAUUAAUAUUUAAAUAUAAAUAUAUAAUUUAUAUUAUGAAAAUUAUGUUGUAUAUAUAUAUAUUUAAUUGGAUUUAAUUUUGAUUGGGGUGAUCAAGGAAUAAAGAUAAAGUAACUUCCUUAAAAUUAAUGAUUGUUUUUAUAGAGUAAUAAACCAAGUUUUUUGCUUAUAAGAUAAGUUACCAUAGGGGUAACAGCGUAAUUUUUUUUGAGAGUUCAUAUUGAAAAAAGAGAUUGCGACCUCGAUGUUGGAUUAAAAAUUACCUUAAGGUGUAGAGGCUUUGUUAGGUGAAUCUGUUCGAUUUUUAAAAUUUUACGU
Molecule: ribosomal RNA, 556 nt
Filed under: Callistoctopus minor (long arm octopus)
Lineage: Eukaryota; Metazoa; Mollusca; Cephalopoda; Octopoda; Octopodidae
Description: partial 16S rRNA
Rfam family: Bacterial large subunit ribosomal RNA
Source: RNAcentral